RNAcentral lists this long non-coding RNA (950 nucleotides) under Anser brachyrhynchus (Pink-footed goose). RNAcentral's name for it is "lncRNA (ENSABRG00000011256.1)". Lineage: Eukaryota; Metazoa; Chordata; Aves; Anseriformes; Anatidae. The record is from RNAcentral.
UCUCAGGGCACUGGACCCACAAGGAGGAGAACCUCUCGUUGGCUGCCCAGCACGCUUCUUCUAAAGGAGUUCAGCAUACAAUAUGCAAAGAGUAAAGUCACCGUGAUAUUUUGCUAAGGUACUUCUUUGCUGUUUGCUUGCUGGCGUUAUUGGGGUUUAAGAAGCUAAAAAGAGAGUGGCCGCAAUCAGUGCUCUUCGUUUGACUUCCUACAAAGGCAUAGUUACCUGAGGGGCAAGAGGAUCGUUGCCCUUUAAUGUUUCUAUUGCAGGGUGUUUCAUGGGUCUCGCACAAUCCACAGCUGGAGUCCAUUAUGAAGAAACACCAAAGAUGAUACCAGUUAAUCAUUCCUGAUAUGGUGAGCACUGAAAAACAGCAGCACCUGUGAAGAAGCAAAAGGCAAUCUGCUUCAGGAGCUCCCAGAAACACUUGUGAGUCAUGGGCUUGAAAUUUGGCCCCUUCCACUUAGCACCAAGAGGAAUGUCUUCUCUGCCAGAUACAGAUUAUCAUUUCUUGCUGGCUUUGAACGUAUUGGUACAUGAGACAGAGACCAGUCUCCACUGACUCCAUGAUCAUUUACUGAAUUAAUUACCCUAUGACUGUAGCGAUUCAAAUCCAGUUCCCACCUGCUCUCUCCCUCCCAUACUAACCUGCCUAUAUCUCCAGGCUGUAUCUGUUAUCCUAUCAGCAUUCGACAACGUAGGAUACCUUGUGCUUGAAGGUUUGGAGGAAACUGUCAUUCAUGAGACACUUCUGUACCUGCAAACACGUUCUUCCUGGAGACUGUGUGUUCUCUCUGAAGAGAGAGCUGAUAAAUCUCCUUUAUUUCCCGGAAAGAAGACCUUUUAUAAAAUUCUCUGGCUUAACUGUAAGCUUCUAACUGCACUAGGAGUAACCCACUCUGUAAAGAAUGGAAGGAGAAACAUGGAAAGAGAAAGAGAUUCAACAAGAU